GACGAACGCUGGCGGCGUGCCUAACACAUGCAAGUCGAACGGACAAAUACCUUCGGGUAUUUGUUAGUGGCGGACGGGUGAGUAACGCGUGAGUAACCUGCCUUUCAGAGGGGGACAACAGUUGGAAACGACUGCUAAUACCGCAUAAUAUUGUAGCACCGCAUGGUGCAACAAUCAAAGGAGCAAUCCGCUGAGAGAUGGACUCGCGUCCGAUUAGGUAGUUGGUGAGGUAAUGGCCCACCAAGCCUACGAUCGGUAGCCGGACUGAGAGGUCGAACGGCCACAUUGGGACUGAGACACGGCCCAGACUCCUACGGGAGGCAG
Molecule: ribosomal RNA, 324 nt
Filed under: uncultured Bacillota bacterium
Lineage: Bacteria; Bacillati; Bacillota
Description: bacterial SSU rRNA
Rfam family: Bacterial small subunit ribosomal RNA
Source: RNAcentral